UACAGAGGGUGCUAGCGUUGUUCGGAAUCAUUGGGCGUAAAGGGCGUGUAGGCGGUUUGUUAAGUCAUGUGUGAAAUCCCUCGGCUCAACCGGGGAACGACGCAUGAAACUGGCAAGCUAGAAUACCAAAGAGGGGGGUGGAAUUCCCGGUGUAGCGGUGAAAUGCGCAGAUAUCAGGAGGAACACCGGUGGCGAAGGCGGGUCUCUGGGACGGUACUGACGCUGAGACGCGAAAGCGUGGGGAGCGAACAGG
This 253-nucleotide ribosomal RNA is filed under the name uncultured bacterium. RNAcentral's name for it is "partial 16S ribosomal RNA". It matches the Rfam family "Bacterial small subunit ribosomal RNA", at positions 524 to 776 of the family's 1533-position model. The record is from RNAcentral.